RNAcentral lists this ribosomal RNA (497 nucleotides) under uncultured bacterium. Its description in RNAcentral is "partial 16S ribosomal RNA". It matches the Rfam family "Bacterial small subunit ribosomal RNA", at positions 28 to 507 of the family's 1533-position model. The record is from RNAcentral.
GAUGAACGCUGGCGGCGUGCCUAAUACAUGCAAGUCGAGCGAACAGACGAGGAGCUUGCUCCUCUGACGUUAGCGGCGGACGGGGGAGUAACACGUGGAUAACCUACCUAUAAGACUGGGAUAACUUCGGGAAACCGGAGCUAAUACCGGAUAAUAUAUUGAACCGCAUGGUUCAAUAGUGAAAGACGGUUUUGCUGUCACUUAUAGAUGGAUCCGCGCCGCAUUAGCUAGUUGGUAAGGUAACGGCUUACCACGGCGACGCUGCGUAGCCGCCCUGAGAGCGUGAUCGCCCACACGGGACCUGAGACACGGUCGAGACUCCUACGGGAGGCGGCAGUAGGGAAUAUUCCGUAAUGGGCGAAAGCCGGACGGAGCAGCGCCGCGUGAGUGAUGAAGGUCUUCGGAUCGUAAAACUCUGUUAUGAGGGAAGAAGAAAUGUGUAAGUAGCUAUGCACGUCUUGAGGGUACCUAAUCAGAAAGGCACGGCUAACGACGUG